This 497-nucleotide ribosomal RNA is filed under the name uncultured bacterium. Its description in RNAcentral is "partial 16S ribosomal RNA". It matches the Rfam family "Bacterial small subunit ribosomal RNA", at positions 28 to 507 of the family's 1533-position model. The record is from RNAcentral.
GAUGAACGCUGGCGGCGUGCCUAAUACAUGCAAGUCGAGCGAACAGACGAGGAGCUUGCUCCUUUGACGUUAGCGGCGGACGGGUGAGUAACACGUGGAUAACCUACCUAUAAGACUGGGAUAACUUCGGGAAACCGGAGCUAAUACCGGAUAACAUGUUGAACCGCAUGGUUCAACAGUGAAAGACGGUUUUGCUGUCACUUAUAGAUGGAUCCGCGCCGCAUUAGCUAGUUGGUAAGGUAACGGCUUACCAAGGCAACGAUGCGUAGCCGACCUGAGAGGAUGAUCGGCCACACUGGAACUGAGACACGGUCCAGACUCCUACGGGAGGCAGCAGUAGGGAAUCUUCCGCAAAGGGCGAAAGCCUGACGGAGCAACGCCGCGUGAGUGAAGAAGGUCUUCGGAUCGUAAAACUCUGUUAUUAGGGAAGAACAAAUGUGUAAGUAACUAUGCACGUCUUGACGGUACCUAAUCAGAAAGCCACGGCUAACUACGUG